CGUCCGCUCCGUCAGGCCCUCUAGCUGCUCCUGUGCUGCAGCAAAGCCUAUCUGUCUGGAGGCCGGGCCCACAGACACUCUAUUGUCCAGCCCAGCAGAGAGGUAAGCCUGCGGGUGACCCAAAGCUGCUGAAGCAGCAAG
RNAcentral lists this long non-coding RNA (141 nucleotides) under Gopherus evgoodei (Goodes thornscrub tortoise). RNAcentral's name for it is "lncRNA (ENSGEVG00005011882.1)". The record is from RNAcentral. Lineage: Eukaryota; Metazoa; Chordata; Testudines; Testudinidae.